UGACUGCCCAGCAAGAUACUCUCACGAAAUAAAUAUGGAAUAGUAAUGUAUUUUUACUAAUAAUUCACGUUUAAAGAAAAAGUUUGCCGAAAUUUUUAACAGGAGUUAUCAUCUUGGAAAAGAGAUAAGAAUUUGCUUCAGAAAAGUGGGGAACAAAACAUGAAAGGUUCUUACACAAGUGAACCUUCUGUUAAGAAACAUAUUCAGUGGUACGAAGCUGUUUCAUCUUUAUGCAUCUAAAAUACAUUUCACCGUUCGCACAUAUACUUACAAUUAAUUAAAAAGCAUGGAAACAAAAAACGGCAAGUGAUGACUCUCUGCACUUGCUUAUUUCCUUUUUUCCCUUUCAACUUCCCCCUAAGCCUUGCAAACCCACUGGGCGAAGUUCUGAUGUCAUUAGACGAAUAGAAGAAAAGCGCGGGAAACCAUUCUUUAAACUUAUUCUUGAUGUACUUGUUGUAACAUGCAUCCUACCUGUCGUUCAUCCAUGUCAGUAUCAUACUUUUGUAUCCAAUUUUCUACUUCUGUUUCAACCUUGAACCUUUUCUGGAAAAUACAGCAAGACCAAAGACAAACAAGUUAAUACACAAAACCGUUUGUGGAAAUAAAUAGAGAUGAAAGAAUCAGUUUAAGGUAGAAAGCUUGUGAUCUAUAAUGAAUUAUUCACAGUGAUAGACGUAUAGUCAUCAUGAAAUUUCUACAAAUUUCCAAUUUCCCUAGGAAAUGUCAAUACACUGAGUGAUGAAUCACCUUUCGAAAAAUAA
Long non-coding RNA from Xenia sp. Carnegie-2017, 764 nucleotides. RefSeq lists it as uncharacterized. The transcript is spliced from 2 exons. The record is from RefSeq and is a predicted model, not a curated record. NCBI's taxonomy places the organism in Eukaryota, Metazoa, Cnidaria, Anthozoa, Malacalcyonacea, Xeniidae.